AACGUAGGGGGCAAGCGUUGCCCGGAUUCACUGGGCGUAAAGCGGGUGUAGGCGGUUCUUUAAGUCAGAUGUGAAAUCCUACGGCUCAACCGUGGAAUUGCAUCUGAUACUGGGGAACUUGAGGACGGUAGAGGUCGGUGGAAUUCCCGGUGUACCGGUGAAAUGGGCAGAUAUCGGGAGGAACACCAGUGGCGAAGGCGGCCGACUGGGCCGAUCCUGACGCUGAGACCCGAAAGCUAGGGUAGCGAACCGGAUUAGAAACCCCCGUAGUCC
RNAcentral lists this ribosomal RNA (273 nucleotides) under uncultured bacterium. Its description in RNAcentral is "partial 16S ribosomal RNA". It matches the Rfam family "Bacterial small subunit ribosomal RNA", at positions 524 to 796 of the family's 1533-position model. The record is from RNAcentral.